Non-coding RNA from Podarcis lilfordi (Lilford's wall lizard), 73 nucleotides. The record is from the annotation of a GenBank genome assembly. Lineage: Eukaryota; Metazoa; Chordata; Lepidosauria; Squamata; Lacertidae.
GACAGCUCAGUCGGUACGAGUGUGCUGCUGAUAACACCAAGGUUGCGGGUUCAAUCCCUGUAUGGCAGCUGCA